Molecule: ribosomal RNA, 460 nt
Filed under: uncultured bacterium
Lineage: Bacteria
Description: partial 16S ribosomal RNA
Rfam family: Bacterial small subunit ribosomal RNA
Source: RNAcentral
CCUACGGGUGGCAGCAGUGAGGAAUAUUGGUCAAUGGACGCGAGUCUGAACCAGCCAAGUAGCGUGAAGGAUGACUGCCCUAUGGGUUGUAAACUUCUUUUAUAAAGGAAUAAAACGAGGCACGUGUGCCUUUUUGUAUGUACUUUAUGAAUAAGGAUCGGCUAACUCCGUGCCAGCAGCCGCGGUAAUACGGAGGAUCCGAGCGUUAUCCGGAUUUAUUGGGUUUAAAGGGAGCGUAGAUGGGUUUUUAAGUCAGUUGUGAAAGUUUGCGGCUCAACCGUAAAAUUGCAAUUGGUACUGGCAGUCUUGAGUACAGUUGAGGUAGGCGGAAUUCGUGGUGUAGCGGUGAAAUGCUUAGAUAUCACGAAGAACUCCGAUUGCGAAGGCAGCUUACUACACUGUCACUGACAUUGAUGCUCGAAAGUGUGGGUAUCAAACAGGAUUAGAUACCCUAGUAGUC